GGGAGGUGGUAGACUAGUGUUGGUUGUGGGGAGGUGGUAGACUAGUGUUGGUUGUGGGGAGGUGGUAGACUAGUGUUGGUUGUGGGGAGGUGGUAGACUAGUGUUGGUUGUGGGGAGGUGGUAGACUAGUGUUGGUUGUGGGGAGGUGGUAGACUAGUGUUGGUUGUGGGGAGGUGGUAGACUAGUGUUGGUUGUGGGGAGGUGGUAGACUAGUGUUGGUUGUGGGGAGGUGGUAGACUAGUGUUGGUUGUGGGGAGGUGGUAGACUAGUGUUGGUUGUGGGGAGGUGGUAGACUAGUGUUGGCUGUGGGGAGGUGGUAGACUCGCAUUGGUUGUGUGGGGAGGUAGACUAGCGUUGGUUGUGGGGCGGCGCGGUAGACUAGCGUUGGUUGUGGGGGGCGAGGUAGACUAGCGUUGGUGUGUGGGGGCGAGGUAGA
Molecule: long non-coding RNA, 436 nt
Organism: Oncorhynchus keta (chum salmon)
Lineage: Eukaryota; Metazoa; Chordata; Actinopteri; Salmoniformes; Salmonidae
Exons: 3
Source: RefSeq, a predicted model, not a curated record